RNAcentral lists this ribosomal RNA (492 nucleotides) under uncultured bacterium. RNAcentral describes it as "partial 16S ribosomal RNA". It matches the Rfam family "Bacterial small subunit ribosomal RNA", at positions 29 to 507 of the family's 1533-position model. The record is from RNAcentral.
AGUGAACGCUGGCGGUAGGCCUAACACAUGCAAGUCGAACGGCAGCACAGUAAGAGCUUGCUCUUACGGGUGGCGAGUGGCGGACGGGUGAGGAAUACAUCGGAAUCUACUUUUUCGUGGGGGAUAACGUAGGGAAACUUACGCUAAUACCGCAUACGACCUACGGGUGAAAGCAGUGGAGCUUCGGACCUUGCGCGAUUGAAUGAGCCGAUGUCGGAUUGGCUAGUUGGCGGGGUAAAGGCCCACCAAGGCGACGAUCCGUAGCGGGUCUGAGAGGAUGAUCAGCCACACUGGAACUGAGACACGGUCCAGACUCCUACGGGAGGCAGCAGUGGGGAAUAUUGGACAAUGGGCGAAAGCCUGAUCCAGCCAUACCGCGUGGGUGAAGAAGGUCUUCGGGUUGUAAAGCCCUUUUGUUGGGAAAGAAAAGCAGCAGGUUAAUCCCCCGCUGUUCUGACGGUACCCAAAGAAUAAGCACCGGCUAACUUCGUG